This 1286-nucleotide long non-coding RNA is filed under the name Equus caballus (horse). Its description in RNAcentral is "lncRNA (ENSECAG00000055199.1)". The record is from RNAcentral. Lineage: Eukaryota; Metazoa; Chordata; Mammalia; Perissodactyla; Equidae.
GCUCUUUCUGUAUUUGGGAUAUUAACCCCUUAUCCGAUAUACGGUUUGCAAGUAUCUUCUCCCGGUCGUUAGGUUGUGUUUUGGUCUUGUGGAUGGUUUCCUUUGCCGUGCAGAAGAUUUUUUUGACUUUGAUGUAGUCCCAUUUGUUCAUUUUGUAUUUUGUUUCCAUUGUCCAGUCAGACGUGGUAGUUGAAAACAGGCUGCUAAGACUGAUGUCAAAGAGCAUACUGCCUAUGUUUUCUUGUAGACGUUGCAUGGUUUCGGGUGUGACAUUCAAGUAAAAGCCGAGGGAGGAGGCUGCAGUUCGCUGAGAGCGAGCGUAGCGGGGACCCUGCGUCCCUGUCAGCGCACCUUCCCGCUCCGCGAAGCUCCCGUUCUUCCUGCUCGCCGGACACGGACGACCAGGGCGCCCGCGAAGAUGAUUCCAUCUGGGAGAGGUCCCUGGGGGCGUGGGCCUGGGGGCUGGUGGGAGGCGAGCGUGUCCCUGAGGAAUAGGCUUGUGCGCCGAGAGGUGCCCGUCAGGUGGCGGGACAGCUGUGCGGCGUGGGGAGCGAGGGGGUCUCUUCGUGCGCUUCAGGCGUUCGUGGAACGGGAGGUGUGUGCCGGGCACGGGGCCUGCCUGGGGGUGCGGUGCCCGGGAGUCGGGCGCUGAAGCGGCAUCCCGUGGUCUUGGCUUCCUGGAAGGACAGACGCGAAGUCGAUAAGGACACUGGUCUCCAUGCGUUCUGAGGAGUGCAGGUCUCCCUCUUUUCGAGGCUACGUUCCGUUGGGGUUUUCAUGAAGCCUGUUGUGGCCCUGAAGCUCAGGCCGGUUCAGGGGAAGUGGCCUGUCGAGGGCCACAUCAUAUUUGUGUGCAGAGCCAGUGCUUUCCAAAGCCCUUGAGUGUGCAGAAGUCUACCUGUCAGGGGUGCAGUGGGGGCUGUCCGGGGAGCGUUGUGAGCACAGGUAUGUGUCCCACACUUGAAAGUCUGGCAAAGAAAGCGUGAGGCUGGAGGGUGCUCCGUUCGUUCCCUCCUUCCACAGAAAGUCUGGAGAGUUGACUUUGGGACAAGUCUUUCCUUUCCUCUGGUCCGUGCGUGUUCAGUGGUCUGGACACUUGGUGAGCAAGACUGACAGGGUGUUUGACAUACUGGAAGUCCCAGCCUGGUUGGAGAGGAUCAUGUGGAAUUUGACUUUCUCCCUCUGACAUAUUUCACUCAGCAUAAUACCCUCAAGGUCCAUCCACGUUGUCACAAUUGGCCGAAUUUCAUCAUUUCUUAUGGCUGAUUAAAGUCAAUAAAUUUUUA